ACGAACGCUGGCGGCGUGCCUAACACAUGCAAGUCGAACGGGUGUCUGAUCUUCGGACUGGACACUUAGUGGCGGACGGGUGAGUAACGCGUGGGUAACCUGCCUCAUACAGGGGGAUAGCAGUUGGAAACGACUGAUAAUACCGCAUAAGCGCACAGUACCGCAUGGUACAGUGUGAAAAAACUCCGGUGGUAUGAGAUGGACCCGCGUCUGAUUAGCUUGUUGGCGGGGUAACGGCCCACCAAGGCGACGAUCAGUAGCCGGCCUGAGAGGGUGAACGGCCACAUUGGGACUGAGACACGGCCCAAACUCCUACGGGAGGCAGCAGUGGGGAAUAUUGCACAAUGGGGGAAACCCUGAUGCAGCCGACGCCGCGUGAAGGAUCGAAGUAUUUCGGUAUGUAAACUUCUAUCAGCAGGGAAGAUGAUGACGGUACCUGACUAAGAAGCCCCGGCUAACUACGUGCCAGCCGCUGC
This 476-nucleotide ribosomal RNA is filed under the name uncultured bacterium. Its description in RNAcentral is "bacterial SSU rRNA". It matches the Rfam family "Bacterial small subunit ribosomal RNA", at positions 29 to 518 of the family's 1533-position model. The record is from RNAcentral.